This 358-nucleotide long non-coding RNA is filed under the name Elaeis guineensis (African oil palm). RNAcentral describes it as "long non-coding RNA (EGUI_LNC069206)". The record is from RNAcentral. Lineage: Eukaryota; Viridiplantae; Streptophyta; Magnoliopsida; Arecales; Arecaceae.
AUAUGGAAAAGAAACUCUGAAAGAUCAGACUCCAAGCGAUUCAAGAUAUUGGCAUCAUCGAUGGGAGGUAGAAGAGGUGGUUUCGAUGUUGGUUUUGGAGGACUCAAUGGUGGGAGACCUUAGAGGCAGAAAAGGUGAGAGCUUUUUUCGGGUUAAUAGAGAAGUCUUCAGAGGAAGGAGGAUAGAAUCUUUGGUUGCUGUCGGACAUCUGGCGAAAAAGAAGCCCAAGGUUGUUCUUUUAGGUGCCAAAUGCCAUCCAUUCCCACUGGGACAUAAAAAAGCGGAAAGCACUAGAGAGAUAGUGCGGUCUUUAGUCCAUCGAGCAGUUCAUCUAUCUGCAACAACUACUCUUCGGCAG